This 659-nucleotide ribosomal RNA is filed under the name Leclercia sp. Its description in RNAcentral is "partial 16S rRNA". Lineage: Bacteria; Pseudomonadati; Pseudomonadota; Gammaproteobacteria; Enterobacterales; Enterobacteriaceae. The record is from RNAcentral.
GUCCAGGGGGCCGCCUUCGCCACCGGUAUUCCUCCAGAUCUCUACGCAUUUCACCGCUACACCUGGAAUUCUACCCCCCUCUACAAGACUCUAGCCUGCCAGUUUCGAAUGCAGUUCCCAGGUUGAGCCCGGGGAUUUCACAUCCGACUUGACAGACCGCCUGCGUGCGCUUUACGCCCAGUAAUUCCGAUUAACGCUUGCACCCUCCGUAUUACCGCGGCUGCUGGCACGGAGUUAGCCGGUGCUUCUUCUGCGGGUAACGUCAAUUGCUGAGGUUAUUAACCUCAACACCUUCCUCCCCGCUGAAAGUACUUUACAACCCGAAGGCCUUCUUCAUACACGCGGCAUGGCUGCAUCAGGCUUGCGCCCAUUGUGCAAUAUUCCCCACUGCUGCCUCCCGUAGGAGUCUGGACCGUGUCUCAGUUCCAGUGUGGCUGGUCAUCCUCUCAGACCAGCUAGGGAUCGUCGCCUAGGUGAGCCAUUACCCCACCUACUAGCUAAUCCCAUCUGGGCACAUCUGAUGGCAAGAGGCCCGAAGGUCCCCCUCUUUGGUCUUGCGACGUUAUGCGGUAUUAGCUACCGUUUCCAGUAGUUAUCCCCCUCCAUCAGGCAGUUUCCCAGACAUUACUCACCCGUCCGCCGCUCGUCAGCCAAGAGCA